RNAcentral lists this ribosomal RNA (427 nucleotides) under uncultured bacterium. RNAcentral describes it as "bacterial SSU rRNA". It matches the Rfam family "Bacterial small subunit ribosomal RNA", at positions 354 to 796 of the family's 1533-position model. The record is from RNAcentral.
GUUUGGAAUAUUGCACAAUGGAGGAAACUCUGAUGCAGCGACGCCGCGUGGAGGACGAAGGAUCUAGGUCUGUAAACUCCUUUUGCUGGGAAAGACUUAGGACGGUACCCAGCGAAUAAGCCCCGGCUAACUACGUGCCAGCAGCCGCGGUAAGACGUAGGGGGCGAGCGUUGUCCGGAUUUACUGGGCGUAAAGGGCGCGUAGGCGGCUCGUUAAGUGUGAAGUGAAAUCUCCAGGGCUCAACCCGGAAACUGCUUCGCAUACUGGCGAGCUUGAGGAACGCAGAGGUGACUGGAAUUCCCGGUGUAGCGGUGAAAUGCAUUGAUAUCGGGAGGAACUCCAACAGCGAAGGCAGGUCACUGGGCGUUAUCUGACGCUGAGGCGCGAAAGCGUGGGUAGCAAACAGGAUUAGAUACCCUGGUAGUCC